Molecule: long non-coding RNA, 1314 nt
Filed under: Ananas comosus (pineapple)
Lineage: Eukaryota; Viridiplantae; Streptophyta; Magnoliopsida; Poales; Bromeliaceae
Description: long non-coding RNA (ACOM_LNC000681)
Source: RNAcentral
AAUUAAUAGUCAGUUUCACUUUAAGGCCCUGUUUAGAUGCAUAAUUAAAAAAUUCCAUGAAAUUUUUAUUCUAUGGUUUUGGUCUAAAUGAAAUACAGAAUUCUGUAACUACAAAAAAAUUUCACAGCUUUAUUUUUAAGCUCUUUAGAUACAGAUCAUACAAUUCCACAGUAUUUAUAACAAUUAAAUUUCUAAAAUUUUAAAAUUCAAAAUUCAAAAUUUAAAAUUCAAAAUUCAAAAUUCAAAAUUCAAAAUUCAAAAUUUAAAAAUAAAACUUUAAAAAUUAAAAUUCAAAAUUCAAAAUAUAAAAUUAAAAUUUAAAAUUUAAAAUUAAAAAAUUAAAUUAGAUUUUAUGUUUUAAAUUUGAAAUUUGAAAUUUGGAAUUUGAAAUUUAAAAUUUGAAAUUUGAAACUUUAAAUUUUAAAAUUUAAAGUAUACCAUUUAAACUUUAAAAUUUGAAAUUUAAAAAAUCUAUAAUUAAAAUUUUAAAUUUUAAAUUUAAUAAUUUAUAAAUUUACAUAUUUAUAAAUUUAAAAUUUAAAAUUUAAGUUUAAAUUUAAAUUUUGAAAAUUGAAAAUUAAAAAUUAAAAAUUAAAUUAAAAUUUGAAAUUUGAAAUUUGAAAUUUGAAAUUUGAAAUUUGAAAUUUGAAAUUUGAACUUUUUGAAAUUUGAAAUUUGAAAUUUGAACUCUUUGAAAUUUGAAAUUUGAAAUUUGAACUUUUUGAAAUUUGAAAUUUGAAAGUUGAAAUUUGAACUUUUUGAAAUUUGAAAUUUGAAAGUUGAAAUUUUAAAGUUGAAAUUUGAAAUUUGAAAUUUGAAAUUUGAACUUUUUGAAAUUUAAAUUUGAAAUUUGAAAGUUGAAAUUUGAAAGUUGAAAUUUGAAAUUUGAAAUUUGAAAUUUAAAAUUUGAAAUUUAAAAUUUAAAAUUUAAAAUUUGAAGUUUGAAAUUUGAAAUUUGAACUUUUUGAAAUUUGAUAUUUGAACUUUUUUAUUUGAAAUUUGAAAUUUAAAUUCAAAAUUAAAAUUGAAUUUUAAAAUUUAAAACUUUAUGUUGAAAUUUAAAAUUUAGAAAUUGAUACAUCUUUGCAGGCCCAACAUGGUGGAAUUUUUUUUUCUGUGGUUAAUGUGGAUUGUAAGUUUACUCCAUUUUUUGGAGUAUAGUAUAACUAUACUCCAAAAAUUACGUUCCUUUUUUUUUGUUUCCAAACGUUUCAUAGGAUUAUUUUUCUACCGGCGUAGUAUAGUUAAACUAUGCUAUAUUUUUAGAGAUAUCCAAAUGAGGCCUAAUUGUUAUGUAUUUAUUAUUAUAAUGUA